Octopus sinensis (East Asian common octopus) is the source of this 577-nucleotide long non-coding RNA. RefSeq lists it as uncharacterized. The record is from RefSeq and is a predicted model, not a curated record. NCBI's taxonomy places the organism in Eukaryota, Metazoa, Mollusca, Cephalopoda, Octopoda, Octopodidae. The transcript is spliced from 4 exons.
CAGUCCUAAUAAGAGACAGAAAUGAUAGGCAAAUAAACACAUAAUAAUAACAACAACACAGGCAGACUCAUUGAAGAAUCUCUACCCCCUCCUCUUCCUCCUCAUCAUCAUCAUCACCACCAUCUUCUACAUUAUUUCAAGUCUGCUUUCCAUGUUGGUGUGGGGUGAAUGAUUCAUCAUGGCCUGAGUUAGUUCUUAUUUAGAUUUACUAUCUUCCCAGACAGGUUAAAGAUCAUAUCUCAACCAUAUGUUUCAUUUAGGGAAUGGUUUCUAUGACUGCCUGUGCUAAUACCAACUAUACAGAAUAUAUAAGGUGCAUUUUAAUGUGGUACCAGUACUAGAAAAGUUGUCAGAUCCUCAAUAAGCUUAAAGGGUCCUCUUGGGUGUACAAUUUCUCCAGUUAUUCACCAAAUACUUUAUGACGGGCAUCGGGUGCAUUCAAUUGUGGCACCAACAUUAAGUUGGUGAUGAAAUUUGUUACUCACCUGCGAAAAUAAUAAUACUGAUACAUACCUGUUGGCUGUUAAAAAUAGUUUUUUGAGAUUUGGACAUUUUCGGACUAAUUCUAUAAAACAAC